GUCCUGGCAGUAAACGGUGCACGCUUGGUGUGGCGGGAUUCGACCCCUGCCGUGCCGGAGCAAACGCGUUAAGCGUGCCGCCUGGGAAGUACGGUCGCAAGAUUAAAACUCAAAGAAAUUGACGGGGACCCGCACAAGCGGUGGAGUAUGUGGCUUAAUUCGAUGCAACGCGAAGAACCUUACCUGGGCUUGACAUGCACUUUGUCGUCUGUGAAAGCAGGCUAGCUGUAGCAAUACAGCGGGGUGCACAGGUGUUGCAUGGCUGUCGU
This 269-nucleotide ribosomal RNA is filed under the name uncultured bacterium. RNAcentral's name for it is "partial 16S ribosomal RNA". It matches the Rfam family "Bacterial small subunit ribosomal RNA", at positions 793 to 1055 of the family's 1533-position model. The record is from RNAcentral.